CUUUUGCUGGAUAACCUUACCUGGUAAUUUGACAUACUAGGUGGUUAGUAACUACUGACUGUCUCCAGGUUACAACACAGUUAUUACCCACUUGGGUGAAAAGAGAAGACAGGAAAUACAUUUUGGAGUUGGCUGGCAACCUGUUUACAAAGCAAUUUACAACAGUUCCUUAUUCUUAAGGGGCUAUUCUAAUACAAGACCUCAGAGAAACAGUGCAGUGUGACAAAGGAGGAAUUUAUCAAAGGAGACAGAAAAAGCAUCAAGGCAAGCUGUGAAAUGGUGCGGUAGGAACCAAAUAGAGAGCCAAAGGAUCUUUCUGUCACUGCAGGCCCUUAGGGUGCCUGACAUGAAAAUCACAGCCUUGGCGAGAAAACAGCCGCUGCAGGGAGUGGUGCCCACAGUACUCUAGGCAUCCCUCACCUGCGUCCACUUCCCACCAUCCCUCGGAGGGGCCAGCACACAAGACAGUGACCGGGGCAUGUGUCAAGAGCAUGCGAGAGAAUAUCUACCCUGAGGCAGGAAAACACGGCUUCCGCUCGGCUGUCUCCCAGCUUGGUUUCUUAGAAAUCUAUGUCAUUAUCUUUCUGCUGGGAUUGUCAGACCUGAUUUUGAGAGCAUUUAAAACCUGACCCCUGAUGGAGCCUCUAAAA
Long non-coding RNA from Homo sapiens (human), 650 nucleotides. Ensembl annotates it as TEX26 antisense RNA 1. Its record names the gene TEX26-AS1. The record is from Ensembl. NCBI's taxonomy places the organism in Eukaryota, Metazoa, Chordata, Mammalia, Primates, Hominidae.